Molecule: long non-coding RNA, 2659 nt
Organism: Medicago truncatula (barrel medic)
Lineage: Eukaryota; Viridiplantae; Streptophyta; Magnoliopsida; Fabales; Fabaceae
Exons: 2
Source: RefSeq, a predicted model, not a curated record
CCUACAUUGGCUAAAGUUGGAUCUAAGAGAGAUAAUACUAUCAACUAUAGAUCCUAGAUAACAGCUAUUUUCCUCUCCAGAUCCAUUAAGCAUCUUAAUAAAUUCCCAUUGUCACUCUCAAAUUCAAAUUUUGAGAAGCCACAAUCACCUGCAAACACCAUUGCUUGAUAAAUUCCCCAAGCUUCAGCUGUAGUUGCGCAAGGGAUUCCAUGUCGGAGCCACGUUCCAGAUGCCAUCGCCAAUCCUUCGCAGUUACGGGCUACAACACCGAUUCCCCACAGGAAUUCGCGCGCUCUGUAGGCUAUAGGAUGGGAUAGCGUUGCUGGGAAGGACAGAAUCAGAGACUUGAGCCAUUUUGAAGCUGUGAAGACUAGAGCUUGCACGUUGAAUCACAACAUCUCCAGGUACAUCUAUGUUUUCAAACACCUUUUGGUUUCGCGCAUGCCAGAUACUGUAGAGCAAGGCUGUUAGGGCAAUGAUGGUUUCUUCAUCAUUUUUAAGGAUAAAAUUGGUAAUCCAAUCAUGAAAAUGUAAUACUCCAGAUGAGUGAAAAUUGAUCCCUAGUUGGGAUCCAAACCACUCCUUCUGAGUGACCUCACAAUUGAGAAAAAGAUGUUGAACCGUUUCUAUUUUGGACUCACAUCUGGGACAGAGCAGAGAACACCUAAUGCCUCGUUUGUGGAGUUCAUCCUUGACAGGAAGAGCAUUAUGUAAGAGUCUCCAGAGAAAACUUUUGUGUCUGGGGAUAGUCUUAAUCCCCCAAACUUUCUCCCUUAUAAAUUAGAUGGGCUUACUUUAGAAGAAGCCCAAUUAUGUUGUAAACCCUAAAAUUAGAUAUAAAAACAACAGUAGCAUUCAACAGCCGCAGCCGCCGCAUUCUAUUCGCUUGCUUUCGUAUUCCUUUUCACACUGAUUCUAGAUUUUUCCUAAAGAUUUUCCCAUCAUCAUCAUGAUUUACCAAACAGUUGUAUCAGCUGUUCACACUUGCUACAACAUCGAUUUCAUGCUGAGAAACAUGGUUGUUAAAAUGACAUCUGAUAGAGAGAUAGUAAAAGAGUGGAUUGAAACCGUGACUGUCGAUGUCGGAACGUGGACGGAACUUUUAGACGCAGAGCUCAGAAACGAAUUAGUUAUCGGGUAUACAGCUGCUGGAAGUGAGGUUGAAGGAAGUGCUGUUGCAAUAAUUUUGUCUUAUGGUUCUAGCGUGCUUAUCUACAAGGUACCACCAACACACGAUAUUCCAACAGAACUCACUCCGCCAAUUCAUGUGUAACCCAAGGGUCCAGUUUGUUGGAUUCAAUACUUAUUUAUAUUCUGUUCUACUUGAAAACACUGGCAUUCAGAUGACAAGUCCAGUUGUCGACCUGAUGAUGAACGUCCCCGCCCAUCAACGGAUGUAUUCCUUGAGAGAUAUCAUUCACAGACAGAUCGAUUUAUUGAUUGAAAUUCCGAGGACCAAAUUAAUAUGGUAUCUCUGUUUGCUUUGGAAGAGUUGUAUGUUGCGUUUCCGGACGGAUUAACUUAAUCUCGGUCACUAGAUCACAUGGAACACACGAAAGCUGCUUUAUCAAAGCCGAAGACAUCGGAAGAAUUGCUCUUGAGAUUACUUACUUCUGAUGUUGGGUAUGUGCAGCAAUGGUUGCAAGAGAGGUAAUAAUGGGUGCAGGGGAAAAGGUUGAUUUGGGAUUCUUCGUUGCUAAGACCUUUUUCGAUGAACUUAGUUGCUUUAAUUGCUGCUAUAUGGGUUGAAAAUGUAACAUGCUAACUGACCCCAAGACUGAGCUGCCAAUGGAUGAAAUGGUCCGAUCUAUAUCCGAGAUAUUUGAUCGGAGGCUUGAAAUUUCUUAUCCUUUUUUUUUUUUUUUAUGAUUGUGACAGUUCAUGGGAAGAUGAUCCAUACGGAUGGGUCUCAUCUGGUGACAGUGGAGCUUCACUGAACAGAUAGGUUGCAAAGCACAGGUUAUCAGAUGAUUUCGCUGUAAUGGACAUCUCCCCAUGAACUGUCACAAUCAUAAAAAAAAGGAUAAUAAAUUUCAAGCCUCCGAUCAAAUAGAUCGGAUAUAGAUCGGAUCAUUUCAUCCAUUGGCAGCUCAGUCUUGGGGUCAGUUAGCUUGCAUGUUACAUUUUCAACCCCUAUAGCAGCAAUUAAAGCAACUUUGUGAGCUUCAGCAGUCAUACCCACAAGAUUAUAUCGAGGGUUGCUCAAAAUCACCCUUAGAUUUUCAGGAGGAACCCCACCUGCCAGUCUGUAAGCCAAAACUUGGUUACCAUGUAACAAGCUUAAAAGACAACCUUUAAGUUCAUCGAAACUGGUCUUAGCAACGAAGAAGUUCAUCCAGUGACCGAGAUUAAGUUAAUCCGUCCGAAAACCAACGCAACAUACAACUCUUCCAAAGCAACAGAGAUACCAUAUUAAUUUGGUCCUCGAACAAGUCAUCACCACCCUCAAAAUCUAUCACUCCAUUUGGCAGAAAUUCAAUCAAUAAAAUUUGGAUGUUGGAGUUUUUUUUCUUUAAUUACAAUUGAAUAAAUUCCAAUCUCUAGUAUUUUUGUCAAGUACUUUAAUGGCUAGAACUAAAAUUCACUUUUUAAGUUGUCCGAGGUUGCAUUGAUGUAUGAAUUCACUAUGAUAUUAAAUUGGCCUUUAUUUUGUUUCAAA